AUUGAACGCUGGCGGCAGGCCUAACACAUGCAAGUCGAGCGGAGCGGCGGACGGGUGCGUAAUGCCUAGGAAUCUGCCUGGUAGUGGGGGAUAACGUUCGGUAAUGGGCGCUAAUACCGCAUACUUUCAGUUGAGCCUAGGUCGGAUUAGCUAGUUGGGGGGGUAAAGGCCUACCAAGGCGACGAUCCGUAACUGGUAUGAGAGGAUGAUCAGUCACACUGGAACUGAGACACGGUCCAGACUCCUACGGGAGGCAGCAGUGGGGAAUAUUGCACAAUGGGCGAAAGCCUGAUCCAGCCAUGCCGCGUGUGUGAAGAAGGUCUUCGGAUUGUAAAGCACUUUAAGUUGGGAGGCGUUACCAGCAGAAGAAGCACCGGCUAACUUCGUGCCAGCAGCCGCGGUAAUAC
RNAcentral lists this ribosomal RNA (407 nucleotides) under uncultured bacterium. RNAcentral describes it as "partial 16S ribosomal RNA". It matches the Rfam family "Bacterial small subunit ribosomal RNA", at positions 30 to 526 of the family's 1533-position model. The record is from RNAcentral.